Molecule: transfer RNA, 87 nt
Filed under: Croceicoccus pelagius
Lineage: Bacteria; Pseudomonadati; Pseudomonadota; Alphaproteobacteria; Sphingomonadales; Erythrobacteraceae
Also listed under: 9 other names
Description: tRNA-Leu
Rfam family: tRNA
About the family: Transfer RNA (tRNA) molecules are approximately 80 nucleotides in length.
Source: RNAcentral
GCCCAGAUGGCGGAAUUGGUAGACGCACCGUCUUCAGGUGGCGGCGCUGGCAACGGCGUGGAGGUUCGAGUCCUCUUCUGGGCACCA